Molecule: transfer RNA, 68 nt
Filed under: Marmota monax (woodchuck)
Lineage: Eukaryota; Metazoa; Chordata; Mammalia; Rodentia; Sciuridae
Description: tRNA.Thr
Source: RNAcentral
GGGGCAUAGCUCAGUGGUAGAGUGCCUGCUUAGUGUGCACAAGACUCUGGAUUCAACCCCCAGCACCA